UGCAAGUCGAGUGCGCAGUUCUCUGUAGCAAUACAGGGGAUGGGCGCACGGCGCACGGGUGCGUAACACGUGGGCAAUCUGCCCUCGGAUGGGGGAUAACUCGCCGAAAGGCGAGCUAAUACCGCAUGACAUUCCUGGGACUCCGGUCCCGGGACUCAAAGGCCGCAAGGCCGUCUGAGGAGGAGCCCGCGCCCGAUUAGCUAGUUGGUGAGGUAACGGCUCACCAAGGCUUUGAUCGGUAGCCGGUCUGAGAGGAUGGCCGGCCACACUGGAACUGAGACACGGUCCAGACUCCUACGGGAGGCAGCAGUGGGGAAUAUUGCGCAAUGGGCGAAAGCCUGACGCAGCGACGCCGCGUGGGGGAUGAAGCUUCUCGGAGUGUAAACCCCUUUCGACCCGGACGAAUGACCCGCAAGGGUUUGACGGUACGGGUAUAAGAAGCCCCGGCUAACUACGUGCCAGCAGCCGCGGUAAUACGUAGGGGGCCAGCGUUGCUCGGAAUUACUGGGCGUAAAGGGUUCGUAGGUGGUGCGGCAAGUCGGAAGUGAAAUCUCUGGGCUUAACUCAGAGGCUGCUUUCGAAACUGCCGUGCUCGAGUGCGGGAGAGGCCAGUGGAAUUGCAGGUGUAGCGGUGAAAUGCGUAGAUAUCUGCAGGAACAUCCGUGGCGAAGCGGCUGGCUGGACCGCAACUGACACUGAGGAAUGAAAGCUAGGGGAGCAAACAGGAUUAGAUACCCUGGUAGUCCUAGCCCUAAACCAUCAGAACUUGGGGUGGCUCGCGUAGCGAGUCGUCCCGUAGCUAACGCGUUAAGUUCUGCGCCUGGGGAGUACGGUCGCAAGACUGAAACUCAAAGGAAUUGACGGGGGCCCGCACAAGCGG
RNAcentral lists this ribosomal RNA (880 nucleotides) under uncultured Bacillota bacterium. RNAcentral describes it as "bacterial SSU rRNA". It matches the Rfam family "Bacterial small subunit ribosomal RNA", at positions 56 to 932 of the family's 1533-position model. The record is from RNAcentral. Lineage: Bacteria; Bacillati; Bacillota.